AUACGAAAGGUGCAAGCGUUGUUCGGAUUUACUGGGCGUAAAGAGAGUGUAGGUGGUUUAUUAAGUCGGAUGUGAAAUCCCGGGGCUCAACCUCGGAACUGCAUUCGAUACUGAUAGGCUAGAGUUUGGGAGGGGUAAGCGGAAUUCCGUGUGUAGCAGUGAAAUGCGUAGAUAUACGGAGGAACACCUGAGGCGAAGGCGGCUUACUGGACCAAUACUGACGCUGAGACUCGAAAGCGUGGGUAGCAAACAGGAUUAGAAACCCUAGUAGUCC
This 274-nucleotide ribosomal RNA is filed under the name uncultured bacterium. Its description in RNAcentral is "partial 16S ribosomal RNA". It matches the Rfam family "Bacterial small subunit ribosomal RNA", at positions 523 to 796 of the family's 1533-position model. The record is from RNAcentral.